AUUAAAACAAAUACCGUGAAAACAUACAUAAAUCUCACUAAUUAGUGAUUUUAAAUUUCAAGCUAAAGCGCGUACUACGUGUGACUUGUGAUUGGUUGUUUAGAAAUCGUAUAGCGUCAAAAUUUCGCUCUUAUUUUCGAGUGUUUUACAAACAAAAGUGGUGUUACGGAAAGCUCAACUGGUUGAUUUCCUAAGUUCUUACGUCUUACGUCGUUAUGGAAUUUCAUACAUAUGACUCUAAAUGCCACGUCAGCCAAUUUCGUCUCGUUUUGAUCAACAAUUCGAUCAGCAGUAUAGACCUUUUAAUCUAUAUUUUCGUGAUAUUAUUAAAAAUGAUAUAUGUAAUAUGGACGGAAUAUUAAUUAAAAUAAGCUAAGAGAAUGCAUAUAUGCAUUUAUGUAUUAUUGUAUAUUAUUGUUGAAAUGUUAAUAGAUACAACAGUACAACGAUGUCAAAAGAAUCUACGAAUUCAUAUGAUGUUGAUAUAAGAGAUAUGCGAGUAAAAUACAAAAAUAGAAAUGAAACCUUUACAGAAGAAGAUUUGGUAAGCAAAGAACCAAUAGGACAAUUUAAAGCAUGGUUUGAGGAAGCUUGUAAAACACCAGAAAUAUUUGAACCAAAUGCGGUACUUCUUGGAACUGCAACGAAAGAUGGUCUUCCAUCUGUAAGACCAGUAUUGUUAAGAGGCUAUAGCGUGGAAGGUUUCAAAUUUUAUACAAAUUAUGGCAGUAGGAAGAGUAAAGAAUUAGAAGAAAAUCCAAAUGCUGGAAUGACGUUCUACUGGGGACCAUUACACCGAGUUAUACGAAUAGAGGGAACCGUUGAGAAAACUUCAGCUGAAGAUUCUGAUGAAUAUUUUAAUAGUCGACCAUUCAAAAAUCAAAUAGGAUCUAUGAUCAGUAACCAAAGUACUACUAUUGCUAAUAGGGAAAUUCUUCUAGCAAAAGAAAAGGAGUUACUUGAUCAAUAUACAGAAGAAAACAUUAAAAGACCAGAUUGGUGGGGUGGUUAUAUAAUUAAACCAAAAUCAGUUGAAUUUUGGCAAGGACAAAGCAAUCGUUUGCACGAUAGAAUUCUUUUCAGGCGACCAAUGCCUGGUGAAAGCAUUGAUAAUAUUUUUGUCCAUACAGGAGAAAAUGGAUGGGUAUAUGAAAGAUUAUCACCUUAAGCACUUGCGCUGGAAGAACAUUUUAUGUAUUUCUAAUCUUGGUAUUAUUUCCAGGGUCUCAUUUUAAAAAUGAAGGUUUAAGUUAAAAACUCGUUUUCUUGAAUUUUUGAAAAAGCUUUAUUUUCUUUGAAAAAAAUUUUAUCAAAAACUAAUCUUUUUUCAAGAAUAAUUUAUACAUAAAAAAAACUUUUAAAAAUUCGAAAAAGCGAAGUCCUAACAUAAACCUUUAUCUUCAAGAUAAGACCUUGUUCAUCAAAAUUAGUCAAGGAUUGUCUCAUUGUUGGUCUGAGUGGUGUUUUCGACAUAUUUCGUACAGUUGCGACCUUCAAAAUCUUUAUUAAAAGAGAAGAAACUCAUAUCCAUAGUACUGAUUUUCAAAUCACAUUUGAAUAUGUAUAGUUUGUUUUCAUGAAGUAGAUGAUUGUCUACUUAUUAUGUGCGUAAACUGAGAUUUUUAUCCAUUUCAAAUACAAAGAAAUGAGUUUCACGAUGCUUACAAGGAGAAACUAUGUUAACUCAUUCAGAUAUUUCAAUGAGUUUUAGAUAGAUAAUUUUGUGAUAAAACUAAGGAAGUGUAUAUUUAGUCAUUUAUGUUAGUGGGUAUAAGUUUAUAGAAUAUUAAGUUUUAAAAAAAUGUAUAUUUUAUUUUUUAUAUUUUAUAUUUUAUAUUUUAUAUUUUAUAUUCUAGAGAUACAGAAAUUUUAAAAGGAAAAUGUAGCAGAAUUGGAUUUGUAAUUCAGGAAUUUUUAGUAAGCUAUCCACUCAUCCUACUAUCCAGUCUCUUAUAUUUAUUUCUACGAACAAUUGACAUUCUUUUCGCAAUGAUCUGUGCCAGAUAAGAUACAGCAGCAGCACAAUUUUGACAAAUGGAUAUAAAUACAUUUAUUGAUUAUUUUAUCAAAAAUAAUGAAUUAUAUAUUAUAUAUUAUUUUUAUAAAAAUCAAAUUAUGAAUUCGUUUCCAUAUUGUCUAUGAGGUUUUUCUUCUAACGCUAUUUUUUUUAUAAUUCUCUCAGUAGUUCACUCUACAUAAU
Molecule: RNA transcript, 2200 nt
Organism: Vespula pensylvanica (western yellowjacket)
Lineage: Eukaryota; Metazoa; Arthropoda; Insecta; Hymenoptera; Vespidae
Gene name: pyridoxine/pyridoxamine 5'-phosphate oxidase-like
Exons: 7
Source: RefSeq, a predicted model, not a curated record